RNAcentral lists this ribosomal RNA (496 nucleotides) under uncultured bacterium. RNAcentral's name for it is "partial 16S ribosomal RNA". It matches the Rfam family "Bacterial small subunit ribosomal RNA", at positions 29 to 507 of the family's 1533-position model. The record is from RNAcentral.
AUGAACGCUGGCGGCGUGCCUAAUACAUGCAAGUCGAGCGAACGGACGAGAAGCUUGCUUCUCUGAUGUUAGCAGCGGACGGGUGAGUAACACGUGGAUAACCUACCUAUAAGACUGGGAUAACUUCGGGAAACCGUAGCUAAUACCGGAUAAUAUUUUGAACCGCAUGGUUCAAAAGUGAAAGACGGUCUUGCUGUCACUUAUAGAUGGAUCCGCGCUGCAUUAGCUAGUUGGUAAGGUAACGGCUUACCAAGGCAACGAUGCAUAGCCGACCUGAGAGGGUGAUCGGCCACACUGGAACUGAGACACGGUCCAGACUCCUACGGGAGGCAGCAGUAGGGAAUCUUCCGCAAUGGGCGAAAGCCUGACGGAGCAACGCCGCGUGAGUGAUGAAGGUCUUCGGAUCGUAAAACUCUGUUAUUAGGGAAGAACAUAUGUGUAAGUAACUGUGCACAUCUUGACGGUACCUAAUCAGAAAGCCACGGCUAACUACGUG